UACGUAGGGUGCAAGCGUUGUCCGGAAUUAUUGGGCGUAAAGAGCUCGUAGGCGGUCUGUCGCGUCUGCUGUGAAAAUCCAGGGCUCAACCCUGGACCUGCAGUGGGUACGGGCAGACUAGAGUGCGGUAGGGGAGAUCGGAAUUCCUGGUGUAGCGGUGAAAUGCGCAGAUAUCAGGAGGAACACCGGUGGCGAAGGCGGAUCUCUGGGCCGUAACUGACGCUGAGGAGCGAAAGCAUGGGGAUCAAACAGG
RNAcentral lists this ribosomal RNA (253 nucleotides) under uncultured bacterium. RNAcentral describes it as "partial 16S ribosomal RNA". It matches the Rfam family "Bacterial small subunit ribosomal RNA", at positions 524 to 776 of the family's 1533-position model. The record is from RNAcentral.